UGGGGAAUAUUGCACAAUGGGCGCAAGCCUGAUGCAGCCAUGCCGCGUGUAUGAAGAAGGCCUUCGGGUUGUAAAGUACUUUCAGCGAGGAGGAAGGCGUUGUGGUUAAUAACCGCAACGAUUGACGUUACUCGCAGAAGAAGCACCGGCUAACUCCGUGCCAGCAGCCGCGGUAAUACGGAGGGUGCAAGCGUUAAUCGGAAUUACUGGGCGUAAAGCGCACGCAGGCGGUCUGUCAAGUCGGAUGUGAAAUCCCCGGGCUCAACCUGGGAACUGCAUCCGAAACUGGCAGGCUAGAGUCUUGUAGAGGGGGGUAGAAUUCAAGGUGUAGCGGUGAAAUGCGUAGAGAUCUGGAGGAAUACCGGUGGCGAAGGCGGCCCCCUGGACAAAGACUGACGCUCAGGUGCGAAAGCGUGGGGAGCAAACA
This 427-nucleotide ribosomal RNA is filed under the name uncultured bacterium. Its description in RNAcentral is "partial 16S ribosomal RNA". It matches the Rfam family "Bacterial small subunit ribosomal RNA", at positions 355 to 774 of the family's 1533-position model. The record is from RNAcentral.